Canis lupus familiaris (dog) is the source of this 1196-nucleotide long non-coding RNA. RefSeq lists it as uncharacterized. Lineage: Eukaryota; Metazoa; Chordata; Mammalia; Carnivora; Canidae. The transcript has 2 exons. The record is from RefSeq and is a predicted model, not a curated record.
UCAGAGCACCACUGAACCCCCCUCUCCAGGCCUGGGCUUGGGCCUCAGAGCACCACUGAACCCCCCUCUCCAGGCCUGGGCCUGGGCCUCAGAGCACCACUGAACUCCGCUCUCCAGGUGGGCCUGGGACUGGGCCUUGGCCUCAGAGCACCGCUGAACUCCGCUCUCCAGGUGAGCCUGGGACUGGGCCUCAGAGCACCGUUGAACACCCCUCUCCAGGUGGGCCUGGGCCUGGGCCUCAGAGCACCACUGAACACCCCUCUCCAGGUGGGCCUGGGCCUGGGCCUCAGAGCACUGCUGAACCCCCCUCUCCAGGUGGGCCUGGGCCUGGGCCUCAGAGCACCGCUGAACCCCCCUCUCCAGGCCUGGGCUUGGGCCUCAGAGCCCCGCUGAACCCCCCUCUCCAGGCCUGGGCUUGGGCUUCAGAGCACCACUGAACCCCCCUCUCCAGGCCUGGGCCUGGGCCUCAGAGCACCACUGAACCCCCCUCUCCAGGUGGGCCUGGGCCUGGGCCUCAGAGCACCGCUGAACCCCCCUCUCCAGGCCUGGGCUUGGGCCUCAGAGCACUGCUGAACCCCCCUCUCCAGGCCUGGGCCUGGGCCUCAGAGCACCGCUGAACACCCCUCUCCAGAUGGGCCUGGGCCUGGGCCUCAGAGCACUGCUGAACCCCCCUCUCCAGAUGGGCCUGGGCCUGGGCCUCAGAGCACUGCAGAACCCCCCUCUCCAGGUGGGCCUGGGCCUGGGCCUCAGAGCACUGCUGAACCCCCCUCUCCAGGUGGGCCUGGGCCUGGACCUCAGAGCACCGCUGAACUCCGCUCUCCAGGCCUGGGCCUGGGCCUCAGAGCACCGCUGAAACCCCCUCUCCAGGUGAGCCUGGGCCUGGGCCUCAGAGCACCAUUGAACUCCCCUCUCCAGGCCUGGGCCUGGGCCUCAGAGCACCGCUGAACCCCCCUCUCCAGGUGGGCCUGGGCCUGGGCCUCAGAGCACCGCUGAACCCCCCUCUCCAGGCGGGCCUCCCAGCUGCCAGGUGGCCCUGCCCACCCCCACCCCCACCCGACCAUCAGUGAAGCCACUGGGUGCAGGGAGCCCCUCCCUGCACUGGGGUUCCUCGAGCUUUACGUGCCGGGCUCAGCCAUGAGCUCCUUCAUGGACCACUUCUCCAGAUCUAAGUAUAGAAUAUUAGACUCCCCAGGACA